GCCGGAGUCGUCUAGUGGCAAUGACAGGAGACUGUAAAUCUCCCGCUUUUAAGCUUCGUAGGUUCGAGUCCUACCUCCGGUACCA
This 85-nucleotide transfer RNA is filed under the name Candidatus Saccharibacteria bacterium RAAC3_TM7_1. RNAcentral describes it as "tRNA-Tyr (GTA) (tRNA-Tyr-GTA-1-1)". It matches the Rfam family "tRNA". Rfam says of the family: Transfer RNA (tRNA) molecules are approximately 80 nucleotides in length. Their secondary structure includes four short double-helical elements and three loops (D, anti-codon, and T loops). Further hydrogen bonds mediate the characteristic L-shaped molecular structure. tRNAs have two regions of fundamental functional importance: the anti-codon, which is responsible for specific mRNA codon recognition, and the 3' end, to which the tRNAs corresponding amino acid is attached (by aminoacyl-tRNA synthetases). tRNAs cope with the degeneracy of the genetic code in two manners: having more than one tRNA (with a specific anti-codon) for a particular amino acid; and 'wobble' base-pairing, i.e. permitting non-standard base-pairing at the 3rd anti-codon position. RNAcentral also lists the same sequence under 1 other name. The record is from RNAcentral. Lineage: Bacteria; Candidatus Saccharimonadota.